AAUGAACGCUGGCGGCAUGCCUAACACAUGCAAGUCGAACGAAGGCUUCGGCCUUAGUGGCGCACGGGUGCGUAACGCGUGGGAAUCUGCCCUUGGGUUCGGAAUAACAGUUAGAAAUGACUGCUAAUACCGGAUGAUGUCGUAAGACCAAAGAUUUAUCGCCCAAGGAUGAGCCCGCGUAGGAUUAGCUAGUUGGUGGGGUAAAGGCCUACCAAGGCGACGAUCCUUAGCUGGUCUGAGAGGAUGAUCAGCCACACUGGGACUGAGACACGGCCCAGACUCCUACGGGAGGCAGCAGUGGGGAAUAUUGGACAAUGGGCGAAAGCCUGAUCCAGCAAUGCCGCGUGAGUGAUGAAGGCCUUAGGGUUGUAAAGCUCUUUUACCCGGGAUGAUAAUGACGGUACCGGGAGAAUAAGCUCCGGCUAACUUCGUG
This 433-nucleotide ribosomal RNA is filed under the name uncultured bacterium. RNAcentral's name for it is "partial 16S ribosomal RNA". It matches the Rfam family "Bacterial small subunit ribosomal RNA", at positions 29 to 507 of the family's 1533-position model. The record is from RNAcentral.